GAUCCUGGCUCAGGAUGAACGCUAGCGACAGGCCUAACACAUGCAAGUCGAGGGGCAGCACGAAGUAAGCUUGCUUACUUUGGUGGCGACCGGCGCACGGGUGCGUAACACGUAUCCAAUCUGCCCGUCACUCGGGGAUAGCCUUCUGAAAGGAAGAUUAAUACCCGAUGGGAUGCAUUUCCGGCAUCGGAGAUGCAUUAAAGAUUUUAUCGGUGACGGAUGAGGAUGCGUACGAUUAGCUAGUUGGCGGGAUAACGGCCCACCAAGGCAACGAUCGUUAGGGGUUCUGAGAGGAAGGUCCCCCACACUGGAACUGAGACACGGUCCAGACUCCUACGGGAGGCAGCAGUGAGGAAUAUUGGUCAAUGGACGAGAGUCUGAACCAGCCAAGUAGCGUGCAGGACGACGGCCCUCUGGGUUGUAAACUGUCUUUUAGGUUGGGAAAUAAAAAGAGGGACGUGUCCCUAAUUGUAUGUACCAUCAGAAAAAGGACCGGCUAAUUCCGUG
This 507-nucleotide ribosomal RNA is filed under the name uncultured bacterium. RNAcentral's name for it is "bacterial SSU rRNA". It matches the Rfam family "Bacterial small subunit ribosomal RNA", at positions 15 to 507 of the family's 1533-position model. The record is from RNAcentral.